This 77-nucleotide ribozyme is filed under the name Crocodylus porosus (Australian saltwater crocodile). Its description in RNAcentral is "Mammalian CPEB3 ribozyme (ENSCPRG00005005877.1)". It matches the Rfam family "Mammalian CPEB3 ribozyme". Rfam says of the family: The mammalian CPEB3 ribozyme is a self cleaving RNA located in the second intron of the CPEB3 gene which belongs to a family of genes regulating messenger RNA polyadenylation. This ribozyme is highly conserved and found only in mammals. Lineage: Eukaryota; Metazoa; Chordata; Crocodylia; Crocodylidae. The record is from Rfam by way of RNAcentral.
AGUUGCAAUUUUGAGACCAUAGCAGACAUGCUCAAUGUGUGGCCCUGUCAGAUUCCAAUGAAUCUGUGAAUUCUGCU